CAAGAAUAUUCAUUUGGUGGCUUAACUUUUUCUCUUUCUUUCUACAUCUGGAAAUCGUUCUUAAAGAUCUAUGGAGAAUUGAGUAUAAAUUGUGGGAAAUCAGUUCUCUUUUUUAGCUAAACUUCAAAUUCUGGCGAUUUGUUCUCUGUAUAUAUCUACCAUUCAUUCUCUCUCUCAGCAAGUACCAGUAAACGCAUGGCUGCUUGAAAGCCUCAGAUCUACUAAUCUGAGCACAAAGUGGAUCCUAGAAAGGCAAAUUAAGAAAAAAAAAAAAAGAAAAGGUAAAAUUCAACAAUCUAUCAUUUAAGGUUGUGUGAUCUCAAUGGAAAUAUUUUGAGGCUUUUUUGCGUUUUUGUUUUCACUUUCUUCAUUAAUUUCCUCUCUUCUAACUGCUGUCCAAUGUAUUGAUCCCCUAUAGACAAAUCCUUGAAAAUUUAUUUCUUAAAAAUAUGCAACUUAACUUCAAUAUAUGUGUCCUCUCUAUUCAAAUUACUGAGUUACGAUUUUGCUCAAAUAUGUUUUACAUGGCUUUCAAACCAUUCUUAAUUCGUAAAAGAAUUGACUAAAAAUCUUCAAAUUGAUUUUUUUUUUUUUUCUCCAGACGUGGUUCAAAUUAUACUGAUUGCUCGAUUGUCAUCUGAGUUUUUUCAAUGUUUGAACAUUGUUACAAAUCCUGUAAGUUGAUCCUUUGAUUAGCUUUCUUUCUUUUUUUUCCCAUUUAUUUUUUUUUUUUCAACCCUUUUUUUUUUUUUUUUUUUUCCGUAUUUCUCUUUUUUGUAAUACCAAACAAAGAAUUUAGAUAUGUGAAUCAAUGCACGAUAAUGCUUAUAAGUGUAUCCAGAUCUAUUAAGUUAUUAAUAGGCUUUGUACCUUUUUUCCAAGUACUAAUAACCUAAGAUGAGUAAUAGAAUAUUAUCUAAGUAAAUGUACUAAAUAAUUCGUAUAAGUUACAGAAGAGGAAGGAAAGGGAAAUUCAAAGCUAUCACAUCUAUGUUCCAUCUUAAAAGUUUUGUCUUGAUGAAUGAUUUAUGCUACAUUGAUUCUUCUUAUGAAAGUAAUCUUUCAUUCAGAUUUGGAGUUUAUUGUUCAUUCAAAUAAUUUGAUCAUAACAGCUAUAGUUUGGUUGAGUCUUAACAUGAAAAAUAGAUAUCAUAGGUCACGAGGAUGAGGUAACUAUUGCUAAGUUAGUUGCCCCACAGUGGGAACAACCAGCUGGGCCUAUAUGGUGGUGUCAUCUUUUUGUAGGUCACCCUUCUGUGGAUGCAUGGCUGAACAAUGCCUUGUAGUUACAUCCUGCGCUUAGUGCUGCUUUGAGAGAUGGAAGUAGAUUGACGAGUGAUACGAUGAAACACACUUUAUGUGAGGUAUAUUUCCCGAAAAUUCUAUUACAUUUCUUGAUUAUAGAUGUAACUUUUUAUUUUUGAAUUCCAGAUAGUUGUCUACUGAAUCUAUGUGAUGAAAUUUACUAUCCAUAAUCUAGGUCACCUUCACCCAUGUUUACAUGCAUGUUUUCCAAGUGUUUC
RNAcentral lists this long non-coding RNA (1523 nucleotides) under Olea europaea subsp. europaea. Lineage: Eukaryota; Viridiplantae; Streptophyta; Magnoliopsida; Lamiales; Oleaceae. The record is from RNAcentral.